GCAACAUUAAGCAAAAAUAAUUGCAAUCAACAAAAGCUUUUGUAUACAUUAUCUGCCAUUAUAUAUUAGCUGUUAAUCCAAAAAUACUUUUCUUAUCAAAUUUACUAGCAAGCGAUGCAAUCGUUUUUACCCAAAGAAAAACUAACAAAAACACACAAAAACAUCAUUAGUCAUCAGCUCGCGCAACGCAGCGCAGCGCGACGUCAAUGGACGUUUGGUCAUCUGGUUUGGUGAAAAUGGAGUUUCAUCGAGGUUAUGGGUCCUUACUUUGUUAAUAAUUUUGUCUCCUCUUUUCUUUUAUUUGACAUCUUCUACGAAGAGUCUUAAAAAUAACUAAGUGAUUCUUGAAACCUUAUGUAGUGGACUAUUUUCCUGCCGAGGUAGGCUUUUAAUAUCAUGAGUAAAGUGUACUCAACCUCAAAUCUCUCCGAUAAGGAGCUCAAGGAACAGGGGAAUCGACUUUUCAGUCUCCACAAGUACGAAGAUGCUGCGAAUUGCUACACAAAGGCAAUCAUCAAGAAUCCGAGCCAGGCGCUGUACUUUACAAACCGAGCUCUUUGCCAUCUUAAACUGAAGCGAUGGGAAUCUUCCUGUCAGGAUUGCAGACGUGCCCUGGACAUGGAUCCUUGUUUGGUCAAAGGACACUUUUUUCUGGGACUUGCUCUCCUAGAAUUGGAACUCUAUGAUGAAGCUAUCAAACAUUUACAAAGAGGAGUAGAUCUGGCAAAGGAACAGAAACUGAACUACGGGGAUGACAUGACUAGUGUCCUGAGGCAGGCGCGAAAACGUCGAUUCCAGCUGAAGGAAGAACAGAGAAUUAUCCAAGAUAUCGAACUUCAAACAUAUCUUAAUCAAUUAUUGAUUGAAGAUGCUCAACGGAAUCUCGAAGCUUUGAAAGAAAAGCAGGAGAUUGAGGGGAAAACCGAAGCUGAAUUGGCCCAGAAACGCGACGAAAUCGAGGAAAAGAAAGAAUCCUGCAUCACUCGUCUAAACGAUCUCUUCGCCAAAGUUGACGAUAGAAGAAGGAAAAGAGAAGUACCGGACUACCUAUGUGGCAAGAUCAGUUUUGAAAUUCUCCAAGAGCCAGUAAUUACACCAAGUGGCAUUACUUACGAACGCAAGGAUAUCGAGGAACAUCUUCAGAGGGUAGGACAUUUCGAUCCUGUAACUCGUGUUCGCCUCACACAGGAUCAAUUGAUACCGAACCUGGCAAUGAAAGACGUCGUGGAUUCAUUUCUUCAAGAAAAUGAAUGGGCUCUUGACUACUGAGCCGCAAAGUUACGCUACUGAUCAAAAUUCAACUAUUUUUAGUUGAAAAGUCUACUAUGAUAUUUUCAGACUCGCGAGUGGCCUUCGAUGCUGGAUGCAGAACAGGCAAAAAGCCAAUCUUUGCUGUCUAAAUUCAAGGCCUGAAUGGUUAAAUGAUUGGCGAAAUCAGUGAACCUGAUCAUAAGGUAUACAACAGAUUUUUCUGUUUUUUCAUCAGUGAUACUUUUGCCACUCCAUUCAUAUUGUCUACGAAUGUCUUCUAUCCAAAUUCCACCUGAUUCGAAGAUCUGAAGCAAUUGCUGGAGGUCGGGCUGCAAUAUCCACGCUAUCAAAAAGAGCGCGAACUAUUGAAAGGACCAAUUGCUUACACCACAGAAUACACAAAUGGUCCGUACUUCGCCACA
Molecule: RNA transcript, 1673 nt
Organism: Belonocnema kinseyi
Lineage: Eukaryota; Metazoa; Arthropoda; Insecta; Hymenoptera; Cynipidae
Gene: STUB1
Gene name: E3 ubiquitin-protein ligase CHIP
Exons: 7
Source: RefSeq, a predicted model, not a curated record